RNAcentral lists this ribosomal RNA (253 nucleotides) under uncultured bacterium. RNAcentral describes it as "partial 16S ribosomal RNA". It matches the Rfam family "Bacterial small subunit ribosomal RNA", at positions 524 to 776 of the family's 1533-position model. The record is from RNAcentral.
UACGAAGGGGGCUAGCGUUGCUCGGAAUCACUGGGCGUAAAGGGUGCGUAGGCGGGCCUUUAAGUCAGAGGUGAAAUCCUGGAGCUCAACUCCAGAACUGCCUUUGAUACUGAGGAUCUUGAGUUCGGGAGAGGUGAGUGGAACUGCGAGUGUAGAGGUGAAAUUCGUAGAUAUUCGCAAGAACACCAGUGGCGAAGGCGGCUCACUGGCCCGAUACUGACGCUGAGGCACGAAAGCGUGGGGAGCAAACAGG